RNAcentral lists this transfer RNA (69 nucleotides) under Chloroflexota bacterium. Its description in RNAcentral is "tRNA-Pyl". Lineage: Bacteria; Bacillati; Chloroflexota. The record is from RNAcentral.
ACCCGAUGUAGCGCGGUAGUGGUACUAGGCUCUAAUCCAGCUAAUUGGGUUCGACUCCCGAUUGGGUGC